AUGGAGGCCGACUCCGGGAAGCUCUUCGUCGGCGGCAUCUCCUGGGAGACGGACGAGGACCGCCUCCGUGAAUACUUUGGCCGCUUCGGCGAGGUCACCGAGGCUGUCAUCAUGCGGGACCGCAACACCGGCCGCGCCCGCGGCUUCGGCUUCAUAGUCUUCGCCGAGGCGGGCGUUGCUGAGCGAGUCACCAUGGACAAGCACAUGAUCGAUGGCCGCAUGGUCGAAGCCAAGAAAGCUGUUCCCAGGGAUGACCAGAGCAUUGCAAGCAAGAACAAUGGCAGCAGCAUAGGCUCGCCUGGGCCAGUCCGUACCAGAAAGAUCUUUGUUGGGGGGCUGGCCUCCAAUGUUACUGAGGUUGAAUUCAGAAGGUAUUUUGAGCAAUUCGGUAUGAUAACAGAUGUGGUUGUCAUGUACGACCACAACACACAGAGGCCCAGGGGCUUUGGCUUCAUCACCUAUGAUUCAGAAGAUGCAGUGGAUAAGGCGCUGCACAAGAACUUCCACGAGCUUAAUGGCAAGAUGGUUGAAGUCAAGAGAGCUGUCCCAAAGGAGCAGUCGCCUGGACCUGUCGCACGCUCACCUGCUGGAGGGCAGAACCUUGCUAUCAGCAGGGUUCACAACUUCUUGAAUGGCUUCAACCAGGGAUAUAGCCCAAACCCGAUAGGAGGUUACGGCAUGAGAGUGGAUGGAAGGUUUGGGCUGCUUUCAGGUGCACGAAAUGGGUUUUCUUCAUUUGGCCCCAGUUAUGGAAUGGGCAUGAAUGUUGAAACUGGGAUGAAUGCGAAUUUUGGUGCAAACUCUAGUUUCCUCAAUAACUCAAAUGGGCGGCAAAUGGGUUCAUACUACAAUGGUGGUUCAAACAGACUAGGCAGCCCUAUUGGGUAUGUUGGUCUGAAUGACGAUUCAGGAUCAAUAUUGAGUUCAAUGGGAAGGAAUGUUUGGGGUAAUGGAAAUGUCAACUACCAGAACAGCCCUGCAAACAUGAGUUCUUUUGUACCAUCUGGAAGUGGGAGUCAAGUUGGUAUUACUGGCGACAGUAUAAAUUGGGGAGGUCCUUCUGCCCAUGGGAUGGGAAGCAUUUCAAGCCUUGGGUCUAACAUUGGCCGUGGGGCUGGAGAUAACUUUGGUUUGCCGUCUGGCGGCUAUGGAAGGAGCAACCCAACUGGCACCAUUGGUGAACCUUUUUCUGCAUCAGCCAAUGCAUAUGAAAUGAACAACAUAGAUACAUAUGGCAACAACUCUAUUUAUGGUGACUCAACCUGGAGGUUCACGUCAUCUGAGAUAGAUAUUCCUCCUUUUGAUAAUGAUCUUGGAAAUAUCGAUCCAGAUAUCAAAUCGAACAUGCCAGCAAGUUACAUGGGCAACUAUACUGUUAAUAAUAAUCAGACAAGCAGAGUUGAGGGUAAAUGA
Molecule: ribosomal RNA, 1413 nt
Filed under: Triticum aestivum (bread wheat)
Lineage: Eukaryota; Viridiplantae; Streptophyta; Magnoliopsida; Poales; Poaceae
Description: partial small subunit ribosomal RNA
Source: RNAcentral